RNAcentral lists this small RNA (30 nucleotides) under Bombyx mori (domestic silkworm). Its description in RNAcentral is "ovarian small RNA-12946". The record is from RNAcentral. Lineage: Eukaryota; Metazoa; Arthropoda; Insecta; Lepidoptera; Bombycidae.
CACCCUAGUACACUUGAUCGUUGCUGACGC